RNAcentral lists this ribosomal RNA (458 nucleotides) under uncultured bacterium. RNAcentral describes it as "partial 16S ribosomal RNA". It matches the Rfam family "Bacterial small subunit ribosomal RNA", at positions 338 to 795 of the family's 1533-position model. The record is from RNAcentral.
CCUACGGGUGGCAGCAGUGGGGAAUAUUGCACAAUGGGGGAAACCCUGAUGCAGCGACGCCGCGUGAGUGAAGAAGUAAUUCGUUACGUAAAGCUCUAUCAGCAGGGAAGAAAUACUGACCUUACGGUCAGCAGACGGUACCUGAGUAAGAAGCCCCGGCUAACUACGUGCCAGCAGCCGCGGUAAUACGUAGGGGGCAAGCGUUAUCCGGAUUUACUGGGUGUAAAGGGAGCGUAUACGGCAGUGCAAGUCUGGAGUGAAAGGCGGGGGCUCAACCCCCGGACUGCUCUGGAAACUGUACGGCUGGAGUGCAGGAGAGGUAAGUGGAAUGCCUAGUGUAGCGGUGAAAUGAGGAGAUAUUAGGAGGAACACCAGGGGCGAAGGCGGCUUACUGGACUGUAACUGACGUUGAGGCUCGAAAGCGUGGGGAGCAAACAGGAUUAGAUACCCUGGUAGUC